Molecule: ribosomal RNA, 415 nt
Filed under: unidentified nematode Sourhope farm
Lineage: Eukaryota; Metazoa; Nematoda
Description: SSU rRNA
Rfam family: Eukaryotic small subunit ribosomal RNA
Source: RNAcentral
UCUAAGCACAUGCCUUAAUACGGUGAAGCCGCGAAUAGCUCAUUACAACAGCCACCGUCUACUAGAAUAUAGUUAUCCUACUUGGAUAACUGUGGCAAUUCUAGAGCUAAUACAUGCAAAAAAGCUCCGCCCGCAAGGAACGAGCGCAUUUAUUAGAAUAAAAACCAAUCGGGUUUCGGCCCGUAAUUUGGUGAAUCUGAAUAACUUUGCCAAUCGCACAGUCCUAGUACUGGCGAUGUAUCUUUCAAGUGUCUGCCUUAUCAACUUUCGAUGGUAGGUUAUACGCCUACCAUGGUAGUAACGGGUAACGGAGAAUAAGGGUUCGACUCCGGAGAGGGAGCCUGAGAAACGGCUACCACAUCCAAGGAAGGCAGCAGGCGCGCAAAUUACCCACUUCCAGAACGGAGAGGUAGUG